GGCCGAGCCCGCGGGGACGCGUGGGAAGCCGAAGUCCUGCCUUUCGCUUGCCGCACGGGCUUCCGGCUGAGUCGAGAUCUUCGCUGGAAGCCUGGUUUCUUCUGCUCCUUCUCCACCUUGAGGGACGUGGCACUGUCACCUCUGACCGAUUCCCUGGCCGGCUCCGGUAUCGGCUGUUUGACAAGAAACGCACCUCUGUUCAGAAUCCUGUAGACAGGAUCUUGCGUCCUGUUCUGAAGCUGGGGGGAGGAUAGUUUCUGCUUUGCUAAUUUGAAGGUGGCUGCGUUUUUUCCUGUUAAACGUAUGUUGUGCUUAAAUUAUGUUAGUAGUUAUUAGUACUUUGAUUUUCUUUUGAAGGAUUUAUUUUCAUGAAAAGCAAUAUAUUACCUGGGAAAACAGC
Long non-coding RNA from Gavia stellata (red-throated loon), 400 nucleotides. RefSeq lists it as uncharacterized. The record is from RefSeq and is a predicted model, not a curated record. The transcript is spliced from 2 exons. Lineage: Eukaryota; Metazoa; Chordata; Aves; Gaviiformes; Gaviidae.